AAAACACGUUUUUAAACCUAGGAAAAAAAAAAAGAAAAAAAGACGGGACAAUUGUUCAUCAAUUAAACACCCCAAACCCUUAUUUUUUCCCCCAAUGUCGAAUUCCUCAUGCCUUUCUUCUCGUCGCCAGCAAGUAGCCUCCAAAUAGGAAAUCAACACAUCCAAACACCGAAGAUCGCAGCUGGAAAAUCGCGAGCCCAGAAACUCCAAAAUAGCAAGACCCGUCAGUGGCCGAUUUCGUGACCCGUUCGUGGCUGAGUUCGCGAACAUAGGUAGCUUUGAGCAUGAAUCUACAGGUAUUUGUUUAUUCUUUUAGACUCACAAACAUUCAAAUAUAUAUUAUUUGUUUUUUUUUUUUAUUAAUGAAGGAGAUUUGCAUGCCAUUUUAUCCCCAGUAGUAACCUGUAACUUAUUCAUCAUUAUCUAUAUUGAAAAUCAUUUUGUCCCAAAUUCACAACCUGCAUCUAUCUGUAGUUUAUUUUGCCUGUUAGAUUGGAAUGGUUCAACCUUUGUUGUAGUUAGUUGUAGUUAGUGUAUCUGUACUUUAUGGAUAUGUGAAUUUAUGUAUUUGUUUUUAUGAUUGCAAAUGAAGAACCCGACUUCAAUGACUUGGACUACGAUGUAUAUGAUGAUGAUGAUUGCCAAUUUGAUCGUAAUGUGAUCGAAGGCAUUGAAAUGGGUAUGCAUAUUGUGGAACACAAAGAACGCCAAGAAUUAGAUAGCUCUUCGUAUGCAUCGUCAGAGGAGUUAAGGCCGAGGUUGGUUUGCCGUUUUCGGCCCAUUUUUCGUUUUCCGUUUUCGAAAACGCAAAAAACGUGUUUAGUUCGUCGUUUUCGAAAACGCAUUUUCGAAAACAAGUUAAAAUUUAUAACUGAAAACGUAAAAUGACUUUUUAGCAUUUUCAGUGUUUUCAGUUAUAAAUGUCGAAAACACUCAAAACGCCGAAAACGGGCCAUUUUCGAGAAAAAAUAAAAAUCGUUUUGAAAAUGAAAAUAAAAAAUAAAAAUGGAAACCAACCGCACCCUAAUCUUCUUAAGUGGUUUGGAUUCCGAGGGAAAUAGUGGUAAAUCCAAUUUUCCAGAAUAUUUUGCUGGUACUUGCUUCAUAUUAGCAAUAUUGUUACACUAAGCUGUGCAAGCAUAUAAUUUACUACUAUGAUGCAUGAUAAACCCUCAGCAUGUUAUAUUUUGGAGAAAAUUAAAUUAUCAUUAUUUCUCUUUAUUGUCAUUAUUUGGAGAGCCAAUUGGGCACCAAAUUUAAAUUAUAGAGGAGAUGUUGUCGAAGUUUCGACAAAUUACAUGCAGUAUCUAACUUUUGAGACAAUUUGUAAGUCAUCGUUUAUUUAGGCUCGCAAGCAAAUUUUCUGAGGCUGUUUGUAAGUCCUCACUUAUUGAAGUGAUUUAUAUUCUUAAGGCAAUUCGCAUAUCCUUGCUUAUUUAGAAUCGAUUAAUAUCUUUGAAGCAGUUUGUAAGCCCUAAUUUAUUAAGUUGUGAUAUUUUUGAGGCAAUUUGUAAGACCUCAUUUACUUUGCAUGUGCUUAACGAUGGGGCCUCACAGUGGCAAACUUGAUGUUUAUUAUUCAAUUGGAUUAGGCCUAUUAAUUUAAGCAACAUCUUGCAACUUUAUGUUAGACCUGAAUUUGAGCCCAUUUCAUUAGCACUCACUUGGACCGUUUCAUUUCUCUAUAUAUAAGUGAGUUCAUUCACAAUAAACGGUAUGUGUUAUUCUAACCAUAGCCAAACCCAUUCUCCCAUCUCUUACACUCAUUUUUCUUUCGUUC
This 1780-nucleotide long non-coding RNA is filed under the name Olea europaea subsp. europaea. Lineage: Eukaryota; Viridiplantae; Streptophyta; Magnoliopsida; Lamiales; Oleaceae. The record is from RNAcentral.